AGGCCAACCUUUUCUUUAUUGGCUUUACCAAGGCAUAGUGCAAAGAAAGAAAUGAGUAAUUUAUGGUCAAAGAUAUGCAACCAAGUUAUCAGUUUACAAUAAACAAAGUGCGGACACAUUUCCACAACUGUUAACUGCAGCUACUAGUACAAAAUGCUGUUCAUUUCUAUCAAAUUCAUAGCAUUCCGUAAUAUCUUGGAAAAAUAAUUAUUAUAAUAGCUGUUUAAAUAUAGAUGAAGAAGCAGUUUGGAGGAACUUGCUUGAAAAUUUUUUCUUAAACACCAAAAUAUGUGAAAAUUAACAUCUAAAGAAACAGUAAACAAGAUGCGAAAUUGGUGAAAAUGCAGUAAGAAGUUCCAUACAAAUUUGAGUUUCUAAAUUGAGUUGUUUUUGACGCAUUAAUUACCUGCUCAAUUAGUAUUUCACAUUG
This 430-nucleotide unclassified non-coding RNA is filed under the name Hevea brasiliensis (rubber tree). The record is from RNAcentral. Lineage: Eukaryota; Viridiplantae; Streptophyta; Magnoliopsida; Malpighiales; Euphorbiaceae.